RNAcentral lists this ribosomal RNA (119 nucleotides) under Musa acuminata subsp. malaccensis (wild Malaysian banana). Lineage: Eukaryota; Viridiplantae; Streptophyta; Magnoliopsida; Zingiberales; Musaceae. The record is from RNAcentral.
GUGUGAGAUCAUACCAGCACUAAAGAAUCAGAUCCCAUCAGAACUUCGAAGUUAAGUGUGCUUGGGCAAGAGUAGUACUAGGAUGGGUGACCCCCUGGGAAGCCCUCGUGUUGCACUCC